This 109-nucleotide ribosomal RNA is filed under the name Lepisosteus oculatus (spotted gar). Lineage: Eukaryota; Metazoa; Chordata; Actinopteri; Semionotiformes; Lepisosteidae. The record is from RNAcentral.
GUCAGCAACAUUAUUUCUGAGGUCUUAUCAGAUCUCGGAAGCAAAGCAUAGCUAGGCCUGGUUAGUACUGGUAUGGGAGACCUCCAUGGAUCCCAGGUUGGUGCUGUCA